RNAcentral lists this ribosomal RNA (562 nucleotides) under uncultured bacterium. RNAcentral's name for it is "bacterial SSU rRNA". It matches the Rfam family "Bacterial small subunit ribosomal RNA", at positions 338 to 916 of the family's 1533-position model. The record is from RNAcentral.
CCUACGGGAGGCAGCAGUGGGGAAUCUUGCGCAAUGGGCGAAAGCCUGACGCAGCAACGCCGCGUGCGGGAAGAAGGCUUUCGGGCUGUAAACCGCUUUCAGCAGGAACGAAAAUGACGGUACCUGCAGAAGAAGGAGCGGCCAACUAUGUGCCAGCAGCCGCGGUGAUACAUAGGCUUCAAGCGUUGUCCGGAUUUAUUGGGCGUAAAGAGUUCGUAGGCGGUCGAGUAAGUCGGGUGUGAAAAUUCUGGGCUCAACCCAGAGACGCCACCCGAUACUGCUUAACUUGAGUUCGAUAGGGGAGUGGGGAAUUCCUAGUGUAGCGGUGAAAUGCGCAGAUAUUAGGAGGAACACCGGUGGCGAAGGCGCCACUCUGGAUCGAUACUGACGCUGAGGAACGAAAGCAUGGGUAGCAAACAGGAUUAGAUACCCUGGUAGUCCAUGCCGUAAACGGUGGGCACUAGGUGUGGGAUUCUAUUAACGAAUUCCGCGCCGUCGCUAACGCAUUAAGUGCCCCGCCUGGGGAGUACGGUCGCAAGCUAAAACUCAAAUGAAUUGACGG